RNAcentral lists this ribosomal RNA (274 nucleotides) under uncultured bacterium. RNAcentral describes it as "partial 16S ribosomal RNA". It matches the Rfam family "Archaeal small subunit ribosomal RNA", at positions 473 to 747 of the family's 1478-position model. The record is from RNAcentral.
AAACCAGCACCUCAAGUGGUCAGGAUGAUUAUUGGGCCUAAAGCAUCCGUAGCCGGCUCUGUAAGUUUUCGGUUAAAUCUGUACGCUUAACGUACAGGCUGCCGGAAAUACUGCAGAGCUAGGGAGUGGGAGAGGUAGACGGUACUCGGGAGGAAGGGGUAAAAUCCUUUGAUCUCUCGAUGACCACCUGUGGCGAAGGCGGUCUACCAGAACACGUCCGACGGUGAGGGAUGAAAGCUGGGGGAGCAAACAGGAUUAGAAACCCCAGUAGUCC